AUGGAACAGCUCAUCCUGGAGGUCAUGUCCAAGCAUGUGGAGGAUAAGAUGGUCAGGAACAGUCAGCAUGGAUUUACCAAGGGAAAAUCAUGCUUAACCAAUGUGGUAUCGUUCUGUGUUGAGAAGACUAGCUGGGUGGAUGAGGGGAGAGUGGUGGAUGUGGUCUACCUUGACUUCAGCAAGGCUUUUGACACCGUCUCCCAUAACAUCCUCAUAGACAAGCUCAGGAAGUGUGGCCUAGAUGAGUGGGCAGUGAGGUGGGUUGAUAACAGGUUGGAUGGCAGAGCCCAGAGGGUUGUACUUAGUGGUGUAGAGUCUAAUUGGAGGCCUGCAGCUAGUGGUGUCCCCCAGGGGUCAGUACUGGGUCCAGUGUUGUUCAACUUACUCAUCAAAGACCUGGACGAUGGAACAGAGUGCAUCCACAGCAAGUUUGCUCAUGAGACAAAGCUUGGAGGAGUGGCUGAUACCCCAGAGGGAUGUGCUGCCAUUCAGAGGGACCUUGACAGGCCGGAGGGUUGGGCUGAGAGGAACCUCAUGAAGUUCAACAAGGGCAAGUGCAGGGUUCUGCACCUCGGGAGGAAUAACCCCAAGCACCAGUGCUGGCUGGGGGCUGACCUGCUGGAGAGCAGCUCUACAGAGAGGGACCUGGGAGACCUGGUGGGCAGCAGGCUGACCAUGAGCCAGCAAUAUGCUCUUGUGGCCAAGAAGGCUGACGGGUUCCUGGGCUGCAUUGGGAAAAGUGUUGCCAGCAGGUCAACGGAGGUGAUCCUCCCCCUCUGCUCAGCCCUGGUGAGGCCACACCUGGAGUAUUGUGUCCAGUUCUGGGCUCCCCAGUACAAGAGGGACAUGGAGCGAGCUCAGCAGAGGGCCACUAAGAUGAUUAGAGGACUGGAGCACCUGUCAUACCAGGACAGGCUGAGAGAGCUGGGCCUGUUUAGACUGGAAAAGAGGAGGCUGACGGGAGACCUCAUCAAUGUGUAUAAAUAUCUGAGGGGAGGGUAUCAAAAGAUGGAGCCAAUCUCUUUUCAGUUGUGCCCAGCAACAGUACAAGAGGCAAUGGGCACAAACUGGAGCACAGGAGGUUCUGGCUCAAUAUGA
Molecule: long non-coding RNA, 1098 nt
Filed under: Anser cygnoides (Swan goose)
Lineage: Eukaryota; Metazoa; Chordata; Aves; Anseriformes; Anatidae
Description: lncRNA (ENSACDG00005019148.1)
Source: RNAcentral